UCCGUCAUUAUAUACGCUAUCGAGGCGAAGAAAAUAAUUAUAUCAAUUUUUCAAAUUUCAACAAAAUCAAACGUGGGGGUCGACCUCCUUGAGAUAAUUAACCUUUGAUGCACGUUGAUACCGGGUAUAAAAUAUCGUUCACGCUGCAUCCAUCCGCCAUUGUUUAUAUACUCGGAGUUUUUAGUAUACCGUCUUAUACCUACCUACACACACGCGCGUCUAUAUGGGAACUAAAUUUUUCUACCUGCCCGCAACCUCUCAUCUCAUAAUACCUCGUCGUGAUCCUUCGUUUUGAGGAACGUCGGGGCUGCAAAGUGCACAGCAGAAUAGAGGGGCACUAAUAAUACAGGACUGUUAGCACCAUAUCCUCAGCAUACAGGUACCACGGUGUGUGUGUGUAUAUACCUCCUAUAAGUAUGGGCGUAAUAUAUUUAUGCACUAUGCGAAUUUUUUCAACAACCCGUGAACUGCAGCGAACGGGAACCGCAACUCUCGCCGACUAAUAUAUGUACACAUAUACAGAUCGACAUGUGGACAUAGCUGCGCGCACGUGUGUAUAUCAUUGUAUGAGUUCACAUGUGCAUCGAUAUGCGGCGCAGCUUCAAGAGAGAAGAUGAAAUAAUUCACUCUGUAACUGCAGCGGCAGAAACGCACGUUCAACGGUGUAUAUACCAUGUAUACCUUCGUUCGUUUGUUGCACACAAUGUGUCUACCGGGGGAGGAGGGUAUGACCGGACGUUUGUAUAUUAUCAAAGUGAACAGUUCCGUGUGUACUCUGUACGCAAUAUUACGACGUAUAUACAGGUAUAUAGGUAUAGGUAGAUGUGUAGGCAUAUAUUAUUGGGACACGCGUGUAGCACACGAUAUAUAUAUGUAGUAGUAUAUCGUCGGCAAGGUGUACGAUUAUAUUACGAGCACACGAUCCCGUGUUAAACUUCCGUAAAUACGCCGCAGUUUCCUAUCGGUAUAUAUACGACCCUGCGCAUGAACAGCGAGUAGCUAAACAUAUAACCGUAAUGUAGGUACACGUGUAUUCUGUAAUAUAUACAUAUAUAGACGAGCGAGUGUAUAUACAUAUGUACAUAUGUGUACAAAAUAUAAAGUAUACGCGUCGUCGUCACGCGACACUAUCGGCACGAUCUGGUUAAUCGGUAAUGGCGCUAUACCAACAACAAUAGUAACGAGUCCGGUAUAACAACGACGAUAUCGUCUGUCCUAUAUAUAUAUUUAUAAUAUGUGUAGAUACGUAAUGGAAGAACGUACAGUGAUUUACCGAACGGCGUAAGGUGUUUUAUAAUUUCUGUUCAUAUAUUCGAGUUUCACCAUAUUCUAGAAGAGACGAGUUGAUCGAGGGUGAUUUUUACCACCGCACAUGCCUAAUACGUACGUGAGCACACAUAUGUACAUACAUAUGCAUAACUGCAGCAUGGCAUGUAACAUAGCACGACGGAUUUAGAAACAGCAAUGAGACGGUUGAUCGAUGCGGGGGAAACCUCCCGGGAUGCACAUACCUAUACACAUGCCGUGGAUAUAUACUGCGGGCUCGCUAGCUGCAACCCGUUACCCGCGAGCGAAACAGUCGUUGAAAAAGCCUCCACGAGCAUCAAGAGGGAGGGUAGCUCAGCUGCGGAAAGAGAGAGCGAGAGAGAGAGAGAGAGAGAGAAAAAGAGAUGAAGGGAAGUGCAGCAGCAUCUCUUCCAGAAGCCAAGGGGUGUGCAGCCAACGGUUGCGCCGAAGCCACGCGAGAAUGCCCGCCUACACCUGAUGCAGCAACCUUCGGCUUUUCUUCGACAGCCGCACGUUCAAUCCACGCGGACACUUAUACGUAUAUGUACAUAUAUACCACCGUUCGCAACGCUAUCUUCUUCUUUUGAGUUCUGCAGAAGAAUCCCCGCCCCAGGGGCGACCGGCGGUCGAUUGUUUCUUGCACUUUGCCGGACAUAAGACGACGCUAUACCCGAAUUACGGAAAACCAGGUACCCGGGACUUCCUCCGGUAUCGCAGCGUCGCGGCGCCUUUUAUAAUGUAUUUAAACUCCCGAGAUAGUCGCGUAAGAUCGCCGGGCAUCGUUCUGCACGUGAUACUCGUCCGAGGGAUUCGGAGAUGAGAAACUCCCCAACUCUUAACUUCGAUAAAAAGGUUUUAUCGGUGUCGGGGAAAAAUUCAAAUCUUUCAAAUAAAGACGUGCGUAUACCAAUGUUUCUCGCAUCGGGUAAAAGAACAAUGAAAACAAAUACAUAUUCGCUCACAGCGUCGUAGACCGCGCUACUUUUUUCUAUACUCUACGUGUAAAGUAAAACCCACAAUUUUAAAUCUGGCCAUUUUUCUAAUAAUAAUCAUCUCUCCCGAGUAUUGCAAACGUGAGAAAUCCUCACGUCAUUCGACGUUCGCUUUUUAUAUCUAUGCAGCACAAUGAUAUAAAUUUCAAAUCUGCCACAGCCGAUCACGUUUCAAAUUAUUCAUUAUAACUCGAUGUUGAGCUUUUAUCGUUCACUGUACAUGCGAAACUUGGCACGUACACGGUAAAAGUAUACCAAAAAUAUUGAUCGAAACGAAAAAAAAGUAUCAUACCGUGCAAUAGGUGGCACGUGUGAAAAUUACCUAACAGGGUUGAGGGAAUUAUAAAAAAAAAAAAAAAAAAACGAGAAAAAAACGAGAAAAAAGUCAUUUCUGGUAUUAAAUAUAGCUUUAUUGUGUAUUCUCUUUUAUAAGAGAUGCAUCAUCUGGCGCAAAGCGCUAAUAUAGUUCAACUGCGUAAAAAAGAUUUCUUGGCUCAGAAUCGCAGGCGAUGUUGUCGUUCCGUUUUAUAUCCAUAAAAUAAAAUGAGAAAAAUAAGCGUAUAUACAUGCAAAUUACAUAUGUAUUUAAAAUAAACGCAGUUUAGGUAUUUUCGGACGAAGGAAGAUAUUCUUACGGAGAAGAGUGUGUAUAAGUCGUCACUGUUCUUUGCUGCUCACCUUUCUCCCCUCUUUCCUAUAUACAUGGGUAAUUAUACAUGAGCCCGGUUGAAUCGAAAGCACACGUUUCGCUAAAACCACCCCCUUUGCCCCGCGCGCACAUUCGGAGUAAAAAGUAAAGAAAAAAAAAAAAAACGAACAGUCCAUUGAUACGGAAUUCCUACACCGAGAAAGAAUCGUGAAAAACUUUACGGUUCAGAGAAAACGUAGAAGAAGAAUAAAUUGGAAGAGAUGAUACGGCUGGGUAAUAAUUACCACGUUUUCGCACAGAUCUUUUGGUAAUUCGAUGAACGGGAAAUUCAGAAGAAAAAGAAAUCGAGCGAAUUCCAAAUUUUGAAACCCAUCGUAAAGUAAAUUUUUCAACGAAGCUGGAGGUUAUACAUACAUAUAUGUAUAGAAUCUCGAAUGUAAUACGCGUUCGACGCGAUGAAAAAAGUCGAUGCACUUACACGCGUAAGCCCCAUUAAUCAUAACGUUGGACAUUAUCGAAAGAUAAAUACCCUCGACCGAUAAUUAUCCGAGUGAGUAUUGGUAAGUAGGCUAACAAUGAAUUAGUGACUGUAAUAUACAUAGAGGUAACCAUAUGAACGUGAUCCAACAUCGGUAUAAGUGUAUGUAUUAUAAAUUUUGGCGCUACAAAUUACAAAUACCAUAACGCGCCCCGUCUUA
Long non-coding RNA from Athalia rosae (coleseed sawfly), 3626 nucleotides. RefSeq lists it as uncharacterized. The transcript has 3 exons. NCBI's taxonomy places the organism in Eukaryota, Metazoa, Arthropoda, Insecta, Hymenoptera, Athaliidae. The record is from RefSeq and is a predicted model, not a curated record.